GGGCCCGCACAAGCGGUGGAUUAUGUGGUUUAAUUCGAUGAUACGCGAGGAACCUUACCAAGGCUUAAAUGGGAAUUGACAGGUUUAGAAAUAGACUUUCCUUCGGGCAAUUUUCAAGGUGCUGCAUGGUUGUCGUCAGCUCGUGCCGUGAGGUGUUAGGUUAAGUCCUGCAACGAGCGCAACCCCUGUCACUAGUUGCCAUCAUUCAGUUGGGGACUCUAGUGAGACUGCCUACGCAAGUAGAGAGGAAGGUGGGGAUGACGUCAAAUCAUCACGGCCCUUACGCCUUGGGCCACACACGUAAUACAAUGGCCGGUACAGAGGGCAGCUACUAUGCGAAUAGAUGCGAAUCUCGAAAGCCGGUCUCAGUUCGGAUUGGAGUCUGCAACUCGACUCUAUGAAGCUGGAAUCGCUAGUAAUCGCGCAUCAGCCAUGGCGCGGUGAAUACGUUCCCGGGCCUU
Molecule: ribosomal RNA, 461 nt
Filed under: uncultured bacterium
Lineage: Bacteria
Description: bacterial SSU rRNA
Rfam family: Bacterial small subunit ribosomal RNA
Source: RNAcentral